RNAcentral lists this long non-coding RNA (7170 nucleotides) under Sus scrofa (pig). Its description in RNAcentral is "lncRNA (ENSSSCG00040009031.1)". Lineage: Eukaryota; Metazoa; Chordata; Mammalia; Artiodactyla; Suidae. The record is from RNAcentral.
AUAACUGCUUCCACCUCCCAUUCUCCACUAUUUUGGUAUAGAUAUUUCAUCCUAAAAUCAAACAUGGAGACUUCUGUUUCAGGCCAUUUCAGAUUUCCUAAAACUGAAAUUGCCUUCCCGCUAUUAAUAAAUAGAAAAAUUGAUAAAAUAUACAAGGAAACUGUUUUCAGACAUUGCACAACAAACAGCCCUUGACUGGAAUCCCCUAAAGAAAGGAAAUAAAAUGCCAGGUCCUAUAAUCACCCCAGCUCUCUGCCUAGAGGUAAAUGAGUCUCUUUUCAUCAAAGAGGAAGAGAUCCGAGUUCAAGAGGCUGAAACAGUCAGAACAGAGUACUACAGAGAGAAAACUUUGCAGAGAAAACUUUGCAGAGAAAAAGCUCCAGAAAUCUUCUGACUGUUCCCCUUAAGUUUGUUGCUAAAAACUAAUAUGCACAGGCAGAGUGAGGUCUCAUGAGGCCAGGUGAGAAUACCAGGAAGCUAUAAACUGAUCUAUUCUCAGAGCUCAACCAGGGAAACGGAACAUUUGAGUUCUAACCAUCCUGAAUAAGAAAUUCUCAUUGAACACACAGGGCAUUUGGUAAAAACCAUGGAAGUGAAUCACCUUAGUAACCAGAUUCAACAAGUUAUACAUGAAGAUUACUCUUACCCACCCAUGUAGAAGGAGUUCUAAGAUGGUCUCCCAAAUACUUGCCGCUGUCAUACAGCUUUGUACAAACCCUCCACCCCCUCCCGUUGGGUAUGCAUGGAACAUAAUCCUCUUAACAAAGAAGCUACAUUUACUUGUAAUGUUAAAACUCUGAGCAAACUAGGAAUACAAAUAAACUUCCAUAGAAGAUGAGUAAAAAUUAAUAACAUAGAAAAUGAAAAAGAAUAAAAAAUAAAUUGAAGAAAAAAAUAGAAAAUCUGAAGAGCCUUAUAUCUAUUAAAGAAACUGGAUUUUUUACUUAAAAUAUUUUCUUUUUUAUUUGGUUUAGGGCUGUACCCGCAGCAUACAGACAUAUCCAGGCUAGAGGUCCAAUCAGAGCUAUAGCCUCUAGCCUACGCCAGAGCCACAGCAAUGCCAGAUUCAAGCCACAUCUGCAACCUACAUCACAGGUCACGGCAAUGCUGGAUCCUUAACCCACUGAGCAAGACCAAGGAUUGAGCCUGUGUCCUCAUGCAUACUAGUCAGAUUCAUUUCCUCUGAGCCAUGACUGGAACUCCAAAAUAUUUUCUUAAUUAAAAAAAAAAAAUCUUUUCAAAUCCUGGAUAAGCCUGACAUAAAUAAACAAACAAAUAAAUAUUUUUGAAAACUUGUCAUGAGAAAGUAAAAUAAAACUUAAAAACCUUUGGGCUCAUAUGACUUUAUUGGUAUAAAAAUAGAAAGGAAAAAUAUCCAACAACCAUUCAUGAUAAUAACUCCAAGAAAACUAGGGAUAGAAGGGAAUGUUUUUAACCUGAUAAGCAAUAGCUACAAAAAACCACAGAGCUCACAUCACACUAAAGGUGGAAAUAUAAUAAUUUCCCACUAAGAUCAAAAAUAAAAAUCUUAUCUCUUCUACUUAAUUUUGUUCGGAUGCAAAAAGGGGGAAAGUGAAAUAAAAUUCAGACAGAUUGGGAAUGAUUUCAUAAUACUGCAUAGAGAAAAUCUAAAGAAAUACACAAGAAAGAUACCAGAAUUAAUAAGUGAAUUUAGCAAGAUGGAGAAUAUAUAGCUGAGAAAAAAACACUUAUAUUUCUAUAUAAAUGCAGUAAAAUAAAGCUGGAAAUUUACAUUUAAUAAUUAAUCUUAUAAUAGCAUCCAGAAACAAGAUAUUCAGAAUAAAUUUAACAAAUUUGGGCAAGACAUGUAAAGUGAAAACUACAAAAUAGUGCUGAAAUUAAAGAUUUAAAUCAGUGAAGAAAUAUACCCUAUUUAAGGAUCAAAGACUGAAAAUUAAGAUGUCAGUUAUCUCAAAAUUGGUCUUUAGAAUCAAUACAGUCCUAUCCAAGAACAUUAUCACUUUUCAUUCUCCCUUAUUAUUACCACUGAUUUGCUUUCAUUGUUCCAUGUGAAAACCAAAGUUAAAUGAAGAGUAUUUCUGAGUCUAUGUAUGGAGUUGGGAAAAAUUUUUUCUAUAGGCAGAAUGGAAGGAAUAAUAGUGAUUUAUUCUUAGGAAACAUCAGUGUUUAGGACAUGGGUAGAAAAAGAGAAAUAGGAAGUGAAACUGAGGGUAAGUUACAUGAAGUAUUUCAAGAAGAAAAGUAAGGACAGUUAAUUUGUUACCAAGAAAUCCAAUAGAAUGAAGAAGGAAGUGAAGAGAGACCAGAAUAUAAAAAGGGAGUUUUGUAGUAUCCAUAACAAACACCUCAGUAAACGUGUCCCCCGGUUCCUGUGUUCCUUCCUUUAAGAAAUCACCCCUCAUUCACCUAUCCAGAGAGGAGUACACUUUCAAUCAUGUUCAUCCUGUGCCCCAUUAGCAUAAUUUGACGGCUGGUGCUAUCCCAGUAAAGUUCUCUCUCCUAAGUCAGAGUGGCAUUCUACCAAGUUCUCUUACUCAGUGUGGGAUUAUUUUGAGGAUUUACAUUUUUAAGUUUGUUGUUUGGCUAUUCCUGCCCCCCAGCAUAUGGAGUUCCUAGGCCAAGAAUCAGAUCCAAGCCUCGAUUGUGACCUAUGUCAUAGCUGCAGCAACACUGGAUCCUUAACCCACUGCAACCAGCUGGGGAUCGAACCUGAGACCUGCACUGCUGCAGGUGGAUUCUUAACCCACUGUGCCACAGUGGGAACUCAAAGGAUUACAAUUUUGAAACUAAAAUUGAGACUACUUCAAAAACAGACCAUAACCUCAAAUUUCCUAUCUCAACGGAUACCACUCUGCUUAUCAUAGAUCCAUUUACUCUUUCAUUUAUUCAACCUUCUUUAAAAGAUGUAACUCUAUUUGUAAGGCACAAAUUAUACCAUAUGGUAAUAUAGCUUUAUCAAAAUGUCACUUUCUUUAUAAUUUAUAUAUUUGGUAAUAUUUUAAUGACUGGUUUAUUAAUGAUUCGUCCAGCAAUUGUGUGGUUGUCAAUUUAACUUGGAUUUUCUAUGGCUUUUGACAUAGAUAUUUUGCUGUUAUUAUUUGUCACAUAGUUUUAUGAAUAGAUUGUCUUCAUCAUGAAUUAUACCUGAAGGAGUUAUUGCAUAUAAUGAGGAUUUUGUAGGGCAUACCACACAUAGGCAAAAGUAGUGAUGAUUAAGUCUUAAAAAUUACCUUUUUUGGCUUAUUGAAAAAGUUUUGUUUUCAUUUUUUGUUGUUGUUUUUGUUUUUCGUUUUUUUGUUUUUGAAGGAACACUAUGCACUUGUCACUGUGCUAGAGAUGGUCUCUGGACCCAAGGAAUUCACAUUUUAGUGAAAUUCAGAAUACAGCCUUAAUAUGGAAUGUAAUGUUUUUAUCAAUAUAAAAGUUAGUAUUUUUAUUCUCUUAAAUAUCACUAAUGAAACUCCUGUUUGUCUUUCGUCUUGUUUGUCUAAUACAUGUUUGCCCAUUUUUUCAAAAAUUUUAGUGUAACUUUGCUCUAGCUUUUUGCACUGUGAACAGUAUAUAAUUCAAUUUACUUUUGCUUUUGUUCAUUGACAUAAUCUUAAAGCAUUUUUGCUUCAGUAGGGGAUUUUAUCCUAUGAACAUUUAUAACAAUAAUUGAUGUUAUUGGUUAUAUUUGUUUCCUUGUUUUAUGUUUUUGGUUUAUUAGACUUCCUUGUUGUUUCAUUUAUUUUCUGCCUGUUUAUUAUAUGCACAAAACCAUUCUACUCUAUGCAAUGACUUGAAAGUGAAACAUUUUAAAACUUCCAGUGCUAUUUGUCUCCAAGUUUCCAAAACCUACGUGAGUCUACUUCUCCUAAUAGGAAAAUUAAACAAAUACACAAAAAUGUUAAUCUCUCUAAUGCUGGAGGAAAAUCAAUAUCUUUGAUUAUUCUGCCUCAUACCCAUUUCUAUUUUCUUGUCAAUUCAAUCUUGAAAUAUGAACCCCAAUUAUCUUUAUUUCUGAGAAACCCUAAGUAUUCCUCUUAUUUAUCCAUCCCAAUGGGAACUGAUUUAGAUUUGUCAUUUCAUGUUAAUAUUUCAGUGAUCCUGAGUACUAUUUAAAUGUUAUGAACUACGCAUUUGUAACUUCUUCAUUUGUACUUACCUCAAGGUCAGCUGUUCAGUGGGAGUAAGUCUUUAAGACAUUCAGUCCACUUCUCCCCUCAGCACCCCAAAGCCAUCAUGUUUCUGAGAAAAUCUUUGCUGCAUUUAUAUGUAUAUAUCAACUUACUUGGAUGUUGACAUUUUGUUUCAGAAUUGCUUUCUCUCAAAAUUUUAUGGUUGGUUAUUGUUUCACUAUCUUUCAGAAUUUCAUGUUGUAGAGAAUUGUUACUGUGAGAUUGUUUUUAAGUCACCAGGUUUUGUUAUUGUUGUGUUCUGCUUGAAAGACAGUAGGAUUUUUUUUUUUCUUUUUCUUGAGGCUGAAGAUGCCACUAAUAUUUCUCUAGGGAAGGGUCUCUUCAGUUUUGCCUAGAAAAUAAUCAUUUUUCAGACUUGAGACUUUCUUUAUUUUUACUUCAUUAGUUAUUGUCAUCUUUCAUUCAUUCUCAGUUUGGUUUUUUUUUGUUUGUUUUUGUUUAGUUGUUGUUUCUUUUAUUUUUAUGGCCACACCUAUCAUAUGGAAGUUCCCAGGCCAGGGACUGAAUCCAAGCCACAGCUGCCACCUACACUGCAGCUGCAGAAACACCAGGUCCUUUAAACCAUUGCCAGGCACUGAACCUACACCACAGCCACAACCUUAAGCCACAGCAGUGACAACACUGGAUCCUUAACCCACUGAGCCACGAGGGAAGUCCACUGCUAACUUCAUUUCUAACUCUAAAUCCAUUUAGGUAAUAGAUGGGAAGAUUUGUCUCUCAAAUCUAAACCAGAAGUGAAUUGUUCUACUACCUUCAGUUUUAUUUCCAAGAACUAGAUUAGGAUUAUAAACUGUAGAGAGAUUGUAAUGAACUACUGAUAUUGGUCCAAUUCUAAGACUCUGAAAUGGGAAUAAGUGCAGAAUAAAAGUCAUGGUCUCCAAACUGUUUUGAUUAAAAUACCCUAUCAGAAAAGAAAAAAAAAAAACACUCACAAUAUAUAAUACAUGUGAGAGGUGGUGUAUUAGCAAGCUACUGUCACACCUAAGGGUCCUAUUCAGUCAUGGAGUGAGUGCAGUUUUCUAAUUUAAAUAUCCCCUGCAACCCAAACUGGAAGAUAGAUAAAUAGAAAUCUUCUGUUGCAUAUCUUUUGAUUACCAUCCAAGCAUGAACAGGCAAGGAUUAUGUUUAUCAUUCCAGCUCAUCAGUUUUUCAGCUAAUUCUUGAGUAGGCUGACAACUAUUUUUAGGCUUCAUUGCCAUGGUUUAUUUUCAUCACUUUUGUGUGUAGAAUGACAGAAGGAAAACUUCAAGAGCAUUUUAGUUUGAAUGUGGUGUAUGACAUAUCACACAUGACCCAUCUACAAUUCACCCAAGAAAAUCUGAAAGAUCCAUACUCUAAAAUAAAAAUCUGAUUAUGUCAUGCCCCUUGUUAAAAUCCUUCAGUGACUCCCGAUUACCUGUAGAAUAUAAUUAAAACUUCUCCAUGGGGCUAAUAUGGUCAUUUAUGAUCUGACUUCUGCCUUAUUUUUCAGCAUCACUUGUGUCCACUGCUCCAGAAAUACCCUGACCUCUUAUAUUUAGGAACCACUCUAUUCCCAAAAAUCAUUCAUUCCUAAAUUCCAUCAUGUCUAAGUAUGUACUGUUCCUGCCACAGGAAAUAAGGAGUAUCUACUACUCUCCUCUUCUGUCUGUUUGACCAACAAGUCAUUUGCCAGAGAACCAAUAUGUCAAUCACAAGAAAUGGACACUCCAACCACUAUAUGUGAUUUUAUACACACGUAUGUUGGUGUGUGUACACAGGUAUCUACACAUAGGUACAUACAAAUGUAUAUGAUUACAUUAUACAAAGUAUAACUUCAAAAGAAUGAAGACAUCUUCAACCACUUACCUCUUUCUCUCUCUGUUUCAUAACAUGGUACCAUGUUAUGUAUUUAUUCCCAUCCAUCUACCUCCUUCUUUUUUUCUAGAUUGGCUUCUUACCAUCUACCUUAUAUAUUACCCCAAUUUACAUCCCAUAAUCCCUGAAUCCCAAAUACAAGUGUAUAAAUAAGGAAAAUACAAUCUUAUUUGUGUUUACCCAUGACCCAAUAAAUUGCAGCAGAGGUAGAGAAUGUGAAUUUAAGAAAAAUGCCACCUACCAGUCUUUGGCCCAUGUAGCUUCUCUAAGGGGAUGUAUAAGGGCAGCCAGGGAAGAGAGAAAAUAACUGGGAUGUCUGAGCAGGUAGUAGCUUUCAUAUUUCUAUUUACUGGCUGUCUUCUCUACUAGAAUGAAUUUCUUCUGAAAAAACUUUUGUCUUUAUAAUCUUUAUAUGAUUAGAGUCUAGCACAUAAUUGGAACAUAGUUAAUUAUUUACUAAGUUUAUGGAUAUAGGGUGGUAAACUAAAAAGGAGUAACUUUCUAGAAAGUAUUUUCAUAUAAGGAAGUCAGAUCUAUUUGUAGGCAGGGAGGUUGGGCAAUCUACAGAUUUGAUGCAAUUCCUAUCAAAAUAUCAAUGGCAGUUUUCAUAGAACUAGAAAAAAUAACUUCAACAUUUGUAUGGAAAGACAAAAGACCCAACAUAGCCAAAACUAUCUUGAGAAAGAACAGAGCCAGAGGUAUCACACUCUGGCUUCAGACUAUACUACAAAGCUACAGCCAUCAAAACAGUAUGGUACUCACACAAAAACAGGCACAUAGAUCAAUGGAAAAAAAGUGAUAGCCCAGAAAUAGACCCAUGCACUUAUGGUCAAUUAAUUUACCAAAAAAAAAAAGAAGGAAAGAUGCACAACAGAGAAAAGACAGUCUCUUCAGUAAAUGGUGCUGGGAAAACUGGACAGCAACAUGCAAAAGAAUGAAAUUAGGACAUUUUCUAACACCAUACACAAAAAAUAAACUCAAAAUGGAUUAAAGGCCUAAAUGUAAGACCAGAAAUCAUAAAGCUCCUAGAAGAAAACAUAGAUGUAAUUAAUUCUGUUUGACAUAAAUUGUAGUGAUACUUUGGGGAACUGUAUCCUAAAGCAAAGGGAACAGAAGCAAAAAUAAACAAAUGGGAUCUAGUUAAACUUAAAAACUUUUGCACAGCAAAGGA